AUUUUUCUAAAUAAUUAUUCGAUUUUGGUAUAAUUUUAGAUAUAGAAAAAUCAUUACUUUUCAUUAGAAAAAAAUUGGAAAACUGCACUUCUUUAUAAAGGAAAAUAGUGAAAAACAAUUUAAAUUUGUUUUUCAAAUCUUAGUUCAAUUUUGAAAAAUAGUUUUUCAGUUCUCAAUUUAAAAAUUGGCACAUCUGAAUACGAAAUUCUGUUUUUCAAUUUUCUUAGAAAACUACAAGUGAACAGGCCCUUCUUAGCCAGUAAGCAUCGAGUCAUGCCUAUUAAGAAUACAAGUGUUGUUGUAUGUGCAAUUGUUUUAUUUUGAUCAUUGAUCAUGAUGAUCUCACAUAACUCCUAUCAUGAUCAAUAAUCAUAGUGUAUCUGUUGUACUACAUACCGAAUAAAUUCUCCUACUGGUUUUCUUGAUUGGCCCGCUUGAAGAACCAUUUCUGUGGUUUCUUUUCCCUUGUAUGUGUGAUGAAGACAAGUAAUUAAGGGAAGCAGAUCACUGUUAGAGAUUAGUAUCUUAGUUUUAAUGUAACACACUCAAAAACAUGAAAGUUUGAGAAUUUCAAAGCUUUAUGUCUGCCUCACUUUGCUAUGGGCAGACGUGGAAGGUAAGGAAAAGCAAAACUUAUCAAAAUUGAGCGGCAGCACAAAUUAUUGCGGGUCCCUGCAAAAUAUAAUCAAGACAAACCUCAAUGCUUUAAUCAAUCAAUGCUUUAAUCAAAGUCAAAUCAUUAUAAAGCUAAUAAAAAUAUAAUUAUUUUAUUAGUGUGGAAGGUCAAGUUGAUAAGAUCAUAGUUUUAUAUAAAUUGAGUGAGCAUGCAACAAAGGGCCAAGAUAAGAAGCCCAUAAGAACAGAAGAUUAAGGAUAUAAAGAUGCCCCUUUUGUCAAGUUAAUCUGUCAUCAUAAGGUGGAGAAAAAAAAUAGUUCAGUUUUAGCUUGGUAAGAUAAUGAAUAGAGGAAACUAUCGUAGAAUAAUCUAGUGCAAUUAGCUUAAUUCAUAUCUGAUCAGAUCAGAUUCUCUAAUGGGUAUUUUUUAGAUUGGCCAAAUUGAGUUUGUAGUAUGGCUGCUAGGCCCCCGUGUGAAAUACAUAAUCAUAGAAAUAGUCUCAUCAAGCCUUCAGCCUCUUCUUGCUGUGCAAAGCAUUGUAGUGGAUAUGAAGCCAUCAUCAUUGUAAAUAUGACUGCUGCCACUGAUUUGGUCAAAUCAUUUCUUUUAACUAAGGAUUUCUGAAGAUAUACCUAAUAAACUCACAAUCACAAUUCCAUAUUCUGAACUUUGAACUAGUGGUUUUCCAUCAACAGUGCUUUUUCAUUAAUUGCGCUGGUCCUACAUCCUUUAGUUGGAAGGUUUUGCAAUUUGUGGGAAACAAAAGUUCCACUAUGGUUUAUAUUGCUUUACCAGUUGGACUUUAAAAGGUCAAUUGAUGAUGUUAUACACUUUCACUAUGAAUAUACUGCUCACUGAUCUUCAUUACAGUGUUUCUUUCAAAAUCCCCUUGGACUAGAAUUAUUUUCAUUUGUAUUUCUUUUUUCCUAGGUGUAUGUAUGUCACAAACAGAUGUAAUUUGCUACUGUGCUUAUUACUUCAAAGCAUUUCUGCAUCUCACAUUCAAAACAUUCUUUAAUUUUCUUCCUAUUUUUCUGCAAUAUAUCCAACUUAUAUUAGUUCAUUAAUUCUGACAAUAAUUCAAGGUUAAUGAGGAAUUUAGAUCAAGAUAGCAAUAAUAUAUUUCCUUUAUUUUCUGAAUUGACUUAUUAUGAGCUUGGUAGUAUGAAGUUUAUUGAUUCUGCAGAUGUUGAACUCCCAGUUGUUUGUGCUAUACUUGUAUUUUUGUUUGCUCUCCAACAUUAUGGAACCCACCGGGUAGGGUUCCUUUUUGCACCUGUUGUGAUUACAUGGCUGUUAUGCAUAAGUGCUAUUGGUUUGUACAAUAUUUUGUACUGGAAUCCCCAUGUUUUUCAAGCACUGUCCCCAUACUACAUGUACAAAUUUUUGAAGAAGACCCAGAAGGGAGGUUGGAUGUCCUUGGGUGGGAUUCUGUUGUGCAUAACAGGUACAAGAUCAUAUGUGACUGUGUCCUCUCACCAUUUAUCUAAUAGACUAAUAGUCUAUAUUAUGUUUGUCUUUCUAAUGCAGAGUUUUUGUAUAUUGUAGGCUCAGAAGCUAUGUUUGCUGAUCUUGGGCACUUCUCACAGUUGUCAAUCAAGGUAACUGAUCCGAUUGUUGUAUCAUAGUUUCAAGCAAUUACAUGUGCAAACAUUUUGAAAUCGUCUUCUAAAAGCAAUUGCAUAAGCAUAACUAUCUUCAUAUACAGUUCAAUAGAGUUGAUGCCUGUUUUUCUGAUCUGCAACAACUUGGCACUCGCAUUCAUUACAUAAACAUCUUUCUAUGAGGAUAAGCGUCUUUAAUUGUAUCUCACAAGCAGCUGACUACCUGCUUGGUAAUUUUGUCUCACUUGUAUAACUCAUAUCAGUACAAAAUUAACGAAAAUUUAGCUCCUGGAAAUGAUUUCUCUUGCAGAACUCCCCAAUAAUUUCAAGCAAGCAACUCCUCUAACAGAACUUCACUCUCUGCAGAUUGCUUUCACGUUUGCAGUUUACCCUUCCUUGAUCCUCGCAUAUAUGGGGCAAGCUGCUUAUCUUUCUAAGCAUCAUAACAAUGAAAGUGACUACAGGAUUGGUUUCUAUGUAUCUGUGCCUGGUAAGCUACCAGCGUCAUUGUUUUUGAAAGGGCAUUCCACUUGAUCUUCAUAGAGUAUAAUGCAGCCAGUGGUAUUCUCAUUGUUUCAGAGAAAAUAAGAUGGCCAGUUAUGGCAAUAGCCAUUCUUGCGGCGGUGGUGGGAAGCCAAGCCAUCAUCACCGGAACUUUUUCAAUAAUCAAACAGUGUUCAGCUCUCGGUUGCUUUCCAAAGGUCAAAAUUGUUCACACCUCUUCGAAAAUUCAUGGACAGAUUUACAUUCCAGAGGUCAACUGGACAUUAAUGCUGUUAUGUUUAGCUGUUACCGUUGGUUUCAGAAACACAAAACACAUGGCAAAUGCAGCAGGUUUGGCAGUUAUAACUGUAAUGCUGGUGACAACCUGCCUAAUGUCUCUGGUCAUGGUCUUAUGCUGGCACAAAAAUGUCUUUCUAGCAAUUUGUUUUAUAUUCUUCUUUGGAUCCAUUGAAGCUCUUUACUUCUCAGCAUCCCUUAUCAAGUUCCUUGAAGGGGCAUGGGUACCUGUUGCCCUCUCAUUUAUCUUCCUAGCUGUUAUGUAUGUUUGGCACUAUGGGACAAUCAAGAAAUAUGAAGCCGAUGUUCAAAAUAAGGUCUCCAUCAACUGGCUCCUCAGUCUAGGUCCCACUCUGGGAAUUGUCAGGGUUCGAGGGAUUGGCCUCAUACAUACUGAGCUUGUCUCUGGGAUCCCAGCUAUAUUCUCUCACUUUGUUACCAACCUUCCUGCUUUCCACCAGGUUGUAGUCUUCCUCUGCAUCAAAUCUGUACCAGUGCCACAUGUUAGACCUGAGGAAAGGUUCUUGGUGGGAAGAGUCGGUCCAAAGGAGUACCGUCUGUACAGAUGCAUAGCACGUUAUGGUUACCGCGAUGUGCACAAGGAUGAUGUGGAGUUUGAGAAAGAUCUUGUUUGUAGUAUUGCAGAAUUUAUCAGGUCAGAAAGGCCUGAAUGUAAUAUGGGAAUAGAAGAUUUGGGAGAGGACCAAAAAAUGACAGUUGUUGGGACUUUAUCAUCAAAUUUCGAAGGUAUUAAACUGUGUGAAGACGAUGCAUAUUCUUCUGAUAUGAUAGGCACUUCAGAGACGAGGGAGAUAGAGAUACAGUCCCCCAAAAGGACAAGAAAGAGAGUGAGGUUUGUUGUGCCGGAAAGUCCACAGAUUGACAUGGAGGUGCAGGAUGAGUUGCGGGAAUUAAUGGAAGCAAGGGAAGCAGGAAUGGCAUUUAUAAUGGGGCACUCUUAUGUGAGGGCUAAGAGAGGAUCAAGUUGGAUGAAGAAAGUAGUGAUAGAUUAUGGGUAUGAUUUCUUGAGAAAAAAUUCCAGGGGACCAACUUAUGCUCUGAGCAUACCUCAUGCAUCAACACUAGAGGUGGGAAUGGUCUACUUUGUCUAAUUCAAGCUAUACAACAUAGCUACAAACGCAACAAAAAUAUUCUGCAAUUUUCUGA
This 4167-nucleotide unclassified non-coding RNA is filed under the name Hevea brasiliensis (rubber tree). Lineage: Eukaryota; Viridiplantae; Streptophyta; Magnoliopsida; Malpighiales; Euphorbiaceae. The record is from RNAcentral.